CGUAGGGUGCGAGCGUUGCCCGGAUUUAUUGGGCGUAAAGGGCGCGCAGGCGGCUCGGCACGUCCGUUGUGAAAUCGCCCGGCUCAACUGGGCGGGGUCAGCGGAUACGGUCGAGCUGGAGCAAGCUAGGGGGCAAUGGAAUUCCCGGUGUAGUGGUGGAAUGCGUAGAUAUCGGGAGGAACACCAGUGGCGAAGGCGGUUGCCUGGAGCUUUGCUGACGCUGAGGCGCGAAAGCGUGGGGAGCGAUCCGGAUUAGAUACCCGGGUAGUCCACGCCGUAAACGAUGCGGACUAGGUGUCGGGGGUAUCGACCCCCUCGGCGCCGCAGCUAACGCAUUAAGUCCGCCGCCUGGGGACUACGGCCGCAAGGCUA
This 372-nucleotide ribosomal RNA is filed under the name uncultured organism. RNAcentral describes it as "bacterial SSU rRNA". It matches the Rfam family "Bacterial small subunit ribosomal RNA", at positions 526 to 896 of the family's 1533-position model. The record is from RNAcentral.